Molecule: ribosomal RNA, 373 nt
Filed under: uncultured bacterium
Lineage: Bacteria
Description: bacterial SSU rRNA
Rfam family: Bacterial small subunit ribosomal RNA
Source: RNAcentral
GAUGAACGCUAGCGGCAGGCCUAAUACAUGCAAGUCGAACGGUAAGGCCCUUUCGGGGGUACACGAGUGGCGGACGGGUGCGUAACGCGUAUGCAACAUGCCUUCCAGCGGGGGAUAUACCAGGGAAACUUGGCGCAAUACCCCAUAGAAUUACGGGACCGCAUGGUCUUGUGAUUAAAACUCCGGUGCUGGGAGAUUGGCAUGCGUGACAUUAGCUAGUUGGCGGGGCAACGGCCCGCCAAGGCGACGAUGUCUAGCUGGUCUGAGAGGAUGAUCAGCCACACUGGGACUGAGACACGGCCCAGACUCCUACGGGAGGCAGCAGUAGGGAAUAUUGGACAAUGGGGGAACCCGUGAUCACGCCAUGCCGCGU